GAUGAACGCUGGCGGCGUGCCUAAUACAUGCAAGUCGAGCGAAUGGAUUAAGAGCUUGCUCUUAUGAAGUUAGCGGCGGACGGGUGAGUAACACGUGGGUAACCUGCCCAUAAGACUGGGAUAACUCCGGGAAACCGGGGCUAAUACCGGAUAACAUUUUGAACCGCAUGGUUCGAAAUUGAAAGGCGGCUUCGGCUGUCACUUAUGGAUGGACCCGCGUCGCAUUAGCUAGUUGGUGAGGUAACGGCUCACCAAGGGAACGAUGCGUAGCCGACUUGAGAGGGUGAUCGGCCACACUGGGACUGAGACACGGCCCAGACUCCUACGGGAGGCAGCAGUAGGGAAUCUUCCGCAAUGGACGAAAGUCUGACGGAGCAACGCCGCGUGAGUGAUGAAGGCUUUCGGGUCGUAAAACUCUGUUGUUAGGGAAGAACAAGUGCUAGUUGAAUAAGCUGGCACCUUGACGGUACCUAACCAGAAAGCCACGGCUAACUACGUGCCAGCAGCCGCGGUAA
This 515-nucleotide ribosomal RNA is filed under the name uncultured bacterium. Its description in RNAcentral is "partial 16S ribosomal RNA". It matches the Rfam family "Bacterial small subunit ribosomal RNA", at positions 28 to 523 of the family's 1533-position model. The record is from RNAcentral.